GUGACAGUAAUGGAGACUGAAGUCCUCUACUUAUCCACAAAACAGAUACAACACAGACAGCAGAAGUGUGAGACUCCUGCUGAAAUGCCUCAGCUUUGUCCUGAAGGGACCAUGACCCUCUCUAGGGAUAAGAGGCAAUGUGGACAACUCAUGAUUUUAUCAUGAGUCUCUUAAU
Unclassified non-coding RNA from Chelonoidis abingdonii (Abingdon island giant tortoise), 175 nucleotides. NCBI's taxonomy places the organism in Eukaryota, Metazoa, Chordata, Testudines, Testudinidae. The record is from Ensembl.